Long non-coding RNA from Triticum dicoccoides, 1782 nucleotides. RefSeq lists it as uncharacterized. Lineage: Eukaryota; Viridiplantae; Streptophyta; Magnoliopsida; Poales; Poaceae. The transcript has 3 exons. The record is from RefSeq and is a predicted model, not a curated record.
CGGUCUCUUGUAUUUUACUUUCCAGAAAAUCUGCAUGAUGGUACUCAAAAUUUAUGAAUGGUUUUAUUGGCAUGUCAUGGUGUGGAUCGAGAUGAUGUUCAGUAGACUCCCUCAUCACCUUGCCAGUGCUAUUGAUCGCUCACAGCUUCAAUCUGAAUGUGCUUCUUCCAGUCUAUGCUCCCUCUCUUUGGUUCAUUGGCCUCCCAAGACUACUUUGUAAGUUGUGGACGUCAAUGUCAGUUCUUCUGCUGCAAAGUUGGGGAAAGAAUUGCAGUGCAAUCAAGUUUCGUCCGAGCACACAACAUCAGCGAUGUGACGAUGAAGCAAUGACAUUGUCUGGCUAUUCAUACAAUUCUAUAGAAGAUGCAAUGGACGUUGCAGCUGCUCGAGUAAUGAAAUAUAUGGAGACCAUGCGUGCCAAGGUAUUGAAAGAAUAUAGUUACAACGAGCUGCAACAAAUGAAGGAAAGAGAACUGCAUCUGAUUGGUUUGUUAGGACAAAGAGAAAGAAAUCAAAGAACAGGCUCUGAAGAUUAGAGAACUUAGCAAAGACUUUGCAUAUCAGGUUAAAAGCACUUCUUCUGAGAUUCACCGCCCAGCUAAAGGAAGUUUAUGCUCAGCCAAUUCCAUAAGUGGUCGCGAGCUCGACAAAGCGGCUAUAGAUAUUCACAAUGCAAUUGCUCAUCUUGGCCAAUUGAGUGAAAACUCUAUGCAGGUAAUCCAAAACACAUCGGUAUACCCACUUAGGAGAGGAUCUACUUCCACAGCCUAUGUGCCUUCAGAAGAUGCCGAUACUACCAGCUACAGCAGCCUUCUUUUUGAAUAUCAAGUGAUUACCUUUGUCUAGAGAAGAUCACUGCCAUAGUUCAUCUGCCAGUCUUUCCAGAGCUUCUAUCCUGUUGAUGGACUUUGAACUUAAGCUAUCCCCAGCUAUGUAUGUUAGUUGCGGCAAUCGCAUGUAUAUAGAUUAAACCAUCAGCUACGUUCUAUGUUGCGAGGCAAAUGCCAGUAGUCUCUCAAUAUAACAUGCAGCCGCUUAUUACGUAGGAAUACGAACAUAUGUCCACUGUUAAUAAACCUACCAUGCAUUGUAAUAUAUAAAGCUAUGUAACAUCAUAUCUAAGUAUCAUUUUCCUUAUGCUUCAAAAAUUUAUGAUUGGUCUGUUAAUAUUCUUAUUUGCUUGGUUUCCUUCCGCCUUUUGCGCCAGGUGCGCCAAUGUGGAUGAAGCGCGUGUUGCAUCUAAAAAAAUACAUGUUCUUGCUGGAGCUACCUACUGCUUCAAUGGCUAUCUGUAAUCUCAGACAGGCUCUUCUAAAGAUUCAUAGUGCCAUGGUUGAACUUCAGAGCAUUUCAAGCGCGGCAUGUCUCUCACUGAAGAAGGAAGGUACCCAUAUCAAAAGAAAGGUAUAUACCCAUAUGAUCCAGACUCAGACUCAAGCUGUGAUGAGGAUUUUGUCCCUAUGAACCAACCUUCAAUGGCUUGGAAGCUUGGUUCGCUCUCGCCCUUUGCGCCAUCGGUGCAACCGGUCAUCUAGCCACUGCCCAGCGACCAUGGGCACUUGCCCGGGCUCGUGAGGCACGCGCGCGCUAUGAUGCCCCCGAUACAUCAGGGAAAAUCGUCAACGCAUCUGGGGUUACCUGGACAGCUGGGCUAGUUGUGCUUCAUUAAUCAGCUAAUGGGCUUCCUUCUGUCAGUAAAUGAAUGGGUUAGCUGACCUGGAGUACCGCUACUAACCUAGGCCUAGCAAUCACCGAAAUCACUAAUUAAGGAAUACUUGUUGC